GCUGGGUGUUGUGGUGGGCGCCUGUAAUCCUAGCUACUCGGGAGGCUGAGGCACAAGAAUUGCUUGAACCCAGGAGGAGGAGGUUGCAGUGAGCUGAGAUUGUGCCACUGCACUCUAGCCUGGGCAACAGAGUGAGACUUUGUCUCAA
Molecule: non-coding RNA, 148 nt
Filed under: Gorilla gorilla gorilla (western lowland gorilla)
Lineage: Eukaryota; Metazoa; Chordata; Mammalia; Primates; Hominidae
Source: Rfam by way of RNAcentral